Dreissena polymorpha is the source of this 12216-nucleotide long non-coding RNA. RefSeq lists it as uncharacterized. The record is from RefSeq and is a predicted model, not a curated record. NCBI's taxonomy places the organism in Eukaryota, Metazoa, Mollusca, Bivalvia, Myida, Dreissenidae. The transcript is spliced from 15 exons.
AGGUGGGCUGGGAGGGAAAGAGUAAGCUGGCUACGCUGGCUACUAAGGAGGAUGAAGUGUGGAGGCCAGUGUCAGUCUGCUACAGCAGCACCACAUCAUCCAUCAUUGUGGGACAGAAGUGGGACGACACCAUCCUGGUGUUCAGAGUGGAAUAGUGUGUACAUUGGCUGUUGAGUCAGGACAACAAUGAUGAGGAUGUGGUGGACAAGAAUGGCCUGAGAACGCAGAAGCAACUGCUCAGCACAGAAGAUGACUGUCUGACGAAAGACUCUGCCGUAUCACAGUCCAGUGAUGUGGGGGGAUGAUGCGGUUGUUCCAUGUCUUAAGAUCGCAUCAUGAAAGACAUUUUAGCUGACACUUGGAAGGGAGAGAACUGAAGAUCUGCAACAGCAGUGAGCAUGAGCAUUGUUAUCGAGUUGACGUGGCAACAGCACCAGUCGGACACCCCAGGAGCCUCAGUCCAGGACAACCCUUCCCCUCCCAUGACCCAUAGCUCCACCCCUUUGACCUCCUGCCUCAAAGCUUUGUUGAACAAUACCAUUCUGCUGGAAUGUCUGAGCAUGUUGAGUUUUCACACCUGCCAUCUCCAUGUCGAUCCUUAAGCACUCGAGCCUGAGUAGUUUGUUAAGCUCCAGUGCCAAAAAAUAAAAAGUUGGAUAACUUGUUACAUGCUUUGUGGGACUAACAGAGCAACAGCGAAUAAUGGGAGAAUAUCAAGAAACAGUUGAAGAGUUAAAAAUCAAAGCAUAAGCUAUCCACGGGGGCUACUUCUGAUUUUAAUAGUAGUAGCAUAAUGGACCAUCCUGAUUUGUCCUCUAAUGCGUCCAAAAUGUUCAAAACAAACGUGCUUUUUACACAGUUGCUGACAAAAAAACUUUGUUAUGAACACUCAUAGCAUGAUGAAUACAUCGGGUGUGGUUCAGGCAAAAAAUCUGCCAAUCAUGUUAACAAGGUGCUUAAGGUGCACCCAUCAGGGUUUGUUAGGAGCACUUCACACUCCAAGACAAAACAGUCUCGCAUUGAAUAGACACUUGAUAAAGCGUUGAAAAAUGACAGCAGUUUUGCUGUGUGGUCAAGUAUGCCCUUUUACUCUCAACCCGACAUUAGGUAGAACUCAAACUCGGCCCUCAGCAAUAUCAGCGAGGCUAGCAGUUUUGUUGUGUGGUCCAGUAGGCCCUUUGACUCAACCCGACAUUAGGUAGAACUCAAACUUGAUCCUCAGCAAUAUCAGCGAGGCCAGCGUGUCAUCUCGCCUUCUUCAGCCUCAGAAGAGCACCAUCGAUAUUGAUUUGGCGCGGCAACAGCACCAGUCCAGCCCGCAUGAGCCUCAGUCAAGGACGAACCUUCCCCUCCACCUGACCCUAGCAGCCUCAGUCCACGACGACCCUCCACUCGACCUGACCCUAGCGCCUCCACCUUGACCUACGGCCUCAAAAGAUAACAUUAUUAUCCAAGAAGAAGAACAUUGUUGAAGUAAAUGUUGAAAACAGUCCAAACCCCUUCUCGCACAAAUACUAUAAGUCGCUCAAGACAUUCAGCACGCCACCUAUGAACAUCUCGCACAAAAACUACAAUUCGCUCAAGAAAUUCAGCACGCCACCUAUGAACAUCUCGCACAAAUACUACAAGUCGCUCAAGAAAUUCAGCAUGCCACCUAUGAACAUCUCCCACAAAUACUACAAGUCGUUCGAGAAAUUCAUCACGCCACCUAUGAACAUCUCCCACAAAUACUAUAAGUCGCUCAAGAAAUUCAGCAUGCCACCUAUGAACAUCUCCCACAAAUACUAUAAGUCGCUCAAGAAAUUCAGCACGCCACCUAUGAACAUCUCGCACAAAUACUACAAGUUGCUCAAGAAAUUCAGCACGCCACCUUUGAAAAUCUCCCACAAAUACUACAAGUCGCUCAAGAAAUUCAGCAUGCCACCUAUGACCAUCUAGCACAAAUACUACAUGUCGGUCAAGAAAUUCUGCAUGCCACCUUUGAACAUCUCGCACAAAUACUACAAGUCGCUCAAGAAAUUCAGAACGCCACCUAUGAAAAUCUCCCACAAAUACUACAAGUCGCUCAAGAAAUUCAGCACGCCACCUAUGAACAUCUCCCAAUACUACAAGUCGCUCAAGAAAUUCAGCAUGCCACCUAUGACCAUCUCGCACAAAUACUACAUGUCGGUCAAGAAAUUCUGCACGCCACCUAUGAACAUCUCGCACAAAAUACUACAAGUCGCUCAAGAAAUUCAGCACGCCACCUAUGAAAAUCUCCCACAAAUACCACAAGUCGUUCAAGAAAUUCAGCACGCCACGUAUGAACAUCUCCCACAAAUACUACAAGUCGUUCAAGAAAUUCAGCACGCCACCUAUGAACAUCUCACAAAUACUACAAGUCACUCAAGAAAUUCAGCACGCCAUCUAUGAACAUCUCCCACAAAUAAUACAAGUUGUUCAAGAAAUUCAGCCCGCCACGUAUGAUCAUCCCCUUGAAAUACUACAAGUCUUCAACAAAUUCAGCACGUCACCUAUGAACAUCUCACAAAUACUACAAGUCGCUCAAGAAAAUCAGCACUCCAGGUAUUAACAUCUUGCACAAAUACUACAAGUCGCUCAAGCAAUUCAGCGUGUCACCUAUGAACAUCUUGCAUGGUGGCUUGGUGAGUCUGACUUCUGUCUUGACAAGUCACUCAAGAUAAAAUAACCGAAUCUAACAGACAGAGCAGGUGCUGAGUGACUCGUCUGUUAACUUGACUGACCUCGAUACGUUGCUCUCGAAUAAUGAGAACCUGACGCACGAGGAACAGUGCUGUCCAACAUUCCCAGUUUUUGGUUGGCGACUUCACUGUCUGGACUCACACAAUCACUGCCUAUAGCCCUGCUGCAGCAGAAGCAGCAACAAAAACAGGUUUUCAGUAUACAGAUAUGCAACUGGAGUGAUGAUAUGCCCUGAAGAUAUUUAUUAAUUAAACCCCCUGUUAAUUGGGGUGUAUAGGAAUCCCUUUGGACGGACGUCUAUCUGUCUGUCUUUCCAUCUGUCUGUGGGCGAUCACUUAACAAUUCAACGUUCAGCUUUCAAACUUUCAGUUCUUACAGGACCCCAUACAAUCACAGUUUGGUACUCAGCUGAAUUACAUGCUCUCUGGUGAGCUGGAGCUGGACGCCCAAGGACAAUUCCUGAGUAUAGGCGUCGAGCUCCUGGGCCAGGAAUUCGGGGCAAAGCUCAACGAGUCCUACCCCUAGGGUACAGCCACUCUAACCUUGGGGCUCCACACUUUCCUGCUCAGGGGCAGAGAUUAUCUCAUCUACAAGGGUCCUUAUCCUCACAAGUUCAGGCCCAGGAAACCAUGCUUCUCAACUGCACCCAGCCACUUCAUCUCAACAGUAAUAGUUUGUUUCACCACUUUUAGAAUGGGGCUUGGACUCUUUGUAUUUCGAACAAGAAAUAUCUUUCAAAAAGAUAUACGGCGUUGAUUGUGUUUGUGGUUGAUGAAAGAUAAAGAGUUAUAUUAAUGAGACAGCAAAUUCCUUUUUCUACGCAGUUCUAUAGCAGCAUCACAUGCAAAUCAAUAACCUUGCGCCAGAUUUUGUGGCUUACUUCGCAUUAUUAGAUAUUGUUGACCAUAUAUCUAUAGUUUAAACCUAUUUAUUUAAGCUUGAUUGCAUAGAAAGCCUUAGGCUUAUAUAAACGCUCUCGAUUCUAUUGAUAAAGAACAAAAAUAUACAAGAAGAAUAUAAAUUAAAUGAUUAUAUACGAGUAUAUGGCCAAACCGUACAUAUUUGAAAUAUUAAUACACGGGUUCUUCGAACAGACAGGUAUUGUUGUAGUGGUUUUUCGGACACAGUUAUUUGAUUCGAUUGUUAAUAGUAUCGUGAAUUAUUGGGCUCAUGCUUAGUAAAUUGGUUGCUAUGGUGGAAUAAUUCUUAUUAAAUUAAUCAAAGCUAGUACAUAUCAUGGAAUUAUUGAAAAACAAUCCUUUAUUGACAUACCAUAAUUAUAUCGCUGAAUAUCUGCAAUGAAGAUAUUUCCGGUCAUGUUUACCGGGUUAACGCGAUAGAGUUUAUAUAACGAGUCUUGUACUGACCGCGAACUGAACUUUAUACCUUGUGAGAUGGAAUGCAAUGCGUUAAAGUGAGGUCACGUUUUAUACUGCCGGAACGACGGUUUGUUUAAAGCUUUAUACUUUUGCAUAUUAUUUUUGAUGUUUCGAAAACAAUUUAACAUAUUUUGGUCAAAGCAAAUAUCAGGAUAUGAAACAACAAUAUUUAUAUGAUCUAAAAUAUACGUGAUCACAGAAUGCAAUACGGUAGUAAUAACUAAAUAUGAGAACGCAGCCUUUAAAAACAAAUGCUAUGGCGCUGACAAUCAUCUGGAAAUAAAAGGUGCAUGCACAAACCGUAUUGAUGUCAAGAGUUGAGUGUAAAACUGUUCUAUCUAUCAAGCCUUUUCAUGAGAGAUACAGUUGUUUCAUGCUGAACACGCAGUAAAACAGUGUUAAAAAGACGCGGACAUGUUUUCAAUGUUUUGGUUGUAUGUUAAAAUCAGCCAAUAGAAUAAAUGAAGUGUAUUCAUUUGUGUCUAGCCGCGGUCAGGUCAGGUAAGUUCAAAAGUGGCUUUAAACAGCUACGCCAAAAAAACUGUGUUGUUAUUAUCCCCUGCCACAGGCGAAGGGAUAUUGUUUUGGCGGUGUCAGUCCGUCCGUCUAUCUGUCCGGCCGGCACUUUUAUGUCCGGAGCCAUAUCUUGGAAGUGCUUUGGUGGAUUUCAUUGAAACUUGGUAUGAGUAUAUAUAUGGAUAAGAUGAUGAUGCACACCAAAUGGCAUUGUACAACAUCUGUUAAUAAUGGAGUUAUGGCCCUUUGUAUCUUGAAAAAAAAAGUAAGCUUAGAGCUUUAUCUCCAUUAACACAUGAGCCAGAGCCAUAAAACUUGCCAUGUUGUUCUCAAUCAUCUGGGUUGCUUCACAUUCAACACCCAUAAUCUUAGGUGUUAAGCUCAAGGUCAUACAUUGAGGUCAAAGGUCACAAAUUUGAUGAAUUAUUCAUUAUUUAGUCAUUCCUUUACUAUGCAUUAAACGAAUUCUGUAAUAACUUUCCAUAGUAAAUUGAUUCAUGAAAAAUAUGCUAUCUGCAUUUAAUUGUCUGCAAACCCAUCACAGGUACAAAUGAGUUAAAAACAAUAAUUGACAAAAGGCACAACAAUUCAUUUAUACCUUUUCUUUUUGUUCUACACCCAUCACUAAACAAAAUUUAUUUGAUGGGGGAUAUCAAUUCAACAAAUUUGCUUGUUUUAAGUAAAGUUGAGAAAUAGGUGUUGUGGUUGUUUUUGCUAACAAAUACUUUAAUAUUGAGGAUAAAAGUUUGUUCAAUAUUACAUUUACUAUGGUUUAACUUGAACUGAAAAUGGCAUAUAUUUUUCUUUGUUUUGGAAACCUUCACUUGUUAAUUUCAAUCUGUAUUUUUGGAAAAAUGGAUAUUUUGUUACAUUUGGAAUGGGACCGAACAACAGCCCAAAAUAUUAAAAUAAAAAAAUAAAACUGAAGUAAGUUCCCUUAUCAUUGGAAAAGGGAUAACUGUGGCACAGUUGUGAGCACCUAACACAAUGUCCUGUCUUAAAAUGCCAAGGUAGUCUCUUCUGAAUGAAAAUCCUGUCUUGGUCGAAAAAAAUUCCCUGAUUAGCCUGUGCCUGUGCACAUGCAUUAAGCCAAAUUUUCCCUAAAUGCGGCUUUUAUAAGCCUGAGACUUUUAAUGCAAUCAAGCUUUAACAAAUUGGUUAAACCAAAAUGCACACAAAACUGGGUUUCCUGCUCUUCAAUAAAUUGACACGAAAAACUGAUUCAUUUAAGGGUUAAAAGUGAAACUAGUGCAUCUUCGAUACAAAUGUUAAUAAUAUAGACAGCUUCACGCUCAACCCUAAAAUUAUGGGUUAUAUUGAACAUCCAGAGCUUUAUUUCAAAAACGUCAAUAGCAUGCAAAUUAUCUGUAGGUACCAACCAAACUGACUUUUUAACUCUUUACCAAAAUCACGUUCUAUAUCAAAUGUAAUGAUCGUAAUGAAAUUGCCAUUUCUAUAUAAAAGGUGUCAAUGUUGUUUGUGCCUUUGUGUUAGAUGGGUGUUAUAUUUGCGGAGAUCUGGAUAGCAAUUUUAAUCACCAAUACUGUGAUUGUAAUUGUAAUUAUAUGCAAUUGAUAGUAGUAGUAUAAGAAGCGUUGUUUUGACUACAUCAGGAAUGUGCCUUAUGGCUAUAGCCCCCAUUAGAAUUGUUAGUGAUAUGUGGUACAUAUUUACACAUUUAAAGAUCUUUUUCAAGCUUACUUGAGCAGAAAAUGCUCUGGUAAGAAAUUGUGAUAACCUUAUGUCAAUCAAUGUGCUGUGUGCGUGUGGUCAACUUUUGGCUCGUUAACACUCUAGAUGCCUUAUUUGUUGAUCCGAUCCUCAUGAAACUUGGCCAAAAGCUAGGAAACCAUGUCACCAGAUCAAAUCUUUCAAAACCCCAUGCCACUAUAGGGGCAACAUGUAUGACUCAAUAUCGAUAAAAACUUAGUAAGCAUGCUUAUCUUGACAAUGUCUAAGCCAAUUUGGAAUUAAGGUCACCAGUUAGAAAAGCCUUCUUACCACUCCAGAGGACACAUUUAUGACUCAAUUUGAUGAAACUUGGUCAAACUGCUUAUCUUUCAAUUUUCAAGUCUGAGUUUGAAUCUAUGUCACAUGUACCCAAAAACUAGGUCACCAGAUACAAUCUUUCUUCUCACUCAAAAUCGAUCAAACUUGGUCAGAAUGUUGAUCUUGAAUGCUGCAUAUUGAAAUCACAUCAUGUGCGUUCAAAAACUGGGUAACUAGGUAAAAUGUUCUAAAUAUCAUGUUACCACUCUACAGGUUGCAUUGACGACUCAAUCUUGAUAAAACUUCAUCUUUUGUAUUUUGUCUAGACCAAUUUUGAAAUUCGGUCACAUCUUUCCAUAAACUAGGUCUUUAAAUUAAAUCUCAGACCACUCUAGAAGCCACAUUUAUGACUCAGUCAUGUUUAAACUGGGGCAUAAUGUUUAUCUUGACAAUAUCAUCUAAUAAUCAAUGCCAUUUUCGAAACUCGCUUAAUUGAGGUCAAAAACUAUGUCAAAAGGGCAAGUCUUCAACCAAAGUUUUAAGUCGAACUAAGGUAAGUCUUCAGGGCCAUCCUGACCCUUUUGUUACAAUAAGCAGGAUUCAGAUAUUUGUCAAAGAACGAUAUUUUGCAUUGUUUUAAAUUAAAGAACUUAUAGAUUGCAUUUAAAGAAAAUCGUUACAUUUAAGGAAUAUUGUGUUUUUUUGUUCAGUGUACUUAAAAUACUUACAUGUGUAUCGCAUUUAAAUUCAGACUAAAAUGCAUGUUAUGUUUUCAUUCUAUGUUCAAAGAUAUUUGUCAGUUGGAGGGAGAAAGAAAGAGAUGUUUAAAUAGCAGAACAUGCACACAUUGCUGCUUCAGCCUCAAUAUGAAAUGCAGCGGCAGCGGCAGAAGCAACAACGCUCACAAUUCAACAAUAAACAGUUCCAUUGACGAGCGCUUUUAAAUGACAACAUGUCAAUGAACCAGGCACCUUUUUCUGAAAACCUCGCCGAGCUAAUGAACAGUGCAACUGCGCCAUAUGUGACCCUUCAGAGAAUGGAAUUCCUAGCCAAAUAUCUAAUCGGUGCCAAUCUGGGCUCCAGCAGCAGCCUCAGCCAUGGGGGACAGGUUUAUGAAGCAAUCUGGGCUCCAGGAGCAGCCUCAGCAGUGGGGGACAGGUUUAUGAAGCAAUCUGGGCUCCAGGAGCAGCCUCAGCCAUGGGGGACAGGUUUAUGAAGCAAUCUGGGCUCCAGCAGCAGCCUCAGCCAUGGGGGACAGGUUUAUGAAGCAAGCUGGGCUCCAGCAGCAGCCUCAGCCGUGGGGGACAGGUUUAUGAAGCAAUCUGGGCUCCAGCAGCAGCCUCAGCCAUGGGGGACAAGUUUAUGAAGCAGGGCUCUAGCAGCAGCCUCAGCCGUGGGGGACACCCUGAACUUCUCAAUCUCACAGCAACAGUAGAUCAACAUGACCUCCAGCAGCAGCCUCAGCCGUGGGGGACAGGUUAAUGAAGCAGGGCUCUAGCAGCAGCCUCAGCCAUGGGGGACAGGUUUAUGAAGCAGGGCUCUAGCAGCAGCCUCAGCCAUGGGGGACAGGUUUAUGAAGCAGGGCUCUAGCAGCAGCCUCAGCCGUGGGGGACAGGUUUAUGAAGCACCCUGAACUUCUCAAUCUCACAGCAACAGUAGAUCAACAUGACCUCUAGCAGCAGCCUCAGCCGUGGGGGACAGGUUUAUGAAGCAGGGCUCCAGCAGCAGCCUCUUCCAUGGGGGACAGGUUUAUGAAGCACCCUGAUCUUCUCAAUCUCACAGCAACAGUAGAUCAACAUGACCUCCAGCAGCAGCCUCAGCCAUGGGGGAUAGGUUUAUGAAGCAAUCUGAACUUCUCAAUCUCACAUCAACAGUAGAUCAACAUGACCUCUAGCAGCAGCCUCAGCCGUGGGGGACAGGUUUAUGAAGCAGGGCUCCAGCAGCAGCCUCAGCCGUGGGGGACAGGUUUAUGAAGCAGGGCUCCAGCAGCAACCUCAGCCAUGGGGGACAGGUUUAUGAAGCACCCUGAUCUCACAGCAACAGUAGAUCAACAUGACCUGAAAGCGGUUUGUGUUCAGUGUCUAACAGUAGUCUAAUGACCAAGCCACGUCAGCAAAGCAGCAAUAACAGCAGUCAAGUCGAGGAUCACCCAAAACCACUUGGUGCCUAGGGAUGAUUUUUCUGCUACCAACUUGACCUGAUUAUUGUACUCACGUGGGAGUCAGGUUUAAGGUCACAUAAGGUUUAAAGGCUUAAAUCAGCAUAUAUGGUCAUGGUAGUUAGAAAAUUUAAGAUAAUAAAGGGACUUGUUAACCAACUUGAUGACCAAGUUAUUUAAUAUUGUUCCAAAUGUAUCUUUUAAGGAAAUGACUGCAAUACAGGGAAUCAUAAGAAAAUCUACAUACUUUCCCCUUUAAAUGUGUAAAAUUAACAAUAAACAAAAUGACUACACAACGGGCAUUUACAAGAACAUCGUUGAACAUUUUCCUUUAAAUAUUGCUCAAUAAUUCUCAGUGAACAAAAUGUAUGCAGAAAGAAAAACUUUGUCUCUAUAAAGAUUGCUCAAUAUGUUUUUACUGCAAACGGAUUUAUUACAGAACAGGAAUGUAUUUUUUAACAUUAUCGUUGAAAUUUCUCAACCAUUUGCAGUUAACAACAUGACUGCACAAUAUGGCAUCAAUGGCAAAGCAGAAGUGAUCAGAGAGGGUUAUAACGUGCAAGUCAAGAAGGCGACGUCCAUGACGAGACUGAAAACCCUGAUUACAAAAUGCAGAGUCUGCUCCCGAAGCAUUUGCAGACACAGAACAUGAACCCGCUGCAGUCAUCGUCUUCAGAUUAUAUCAUCUCUAUGGUGCAGGACCCUCAGUCUGUGAACACAGGGAACCUUCGACGCCAAUGACGAAAUCAAACCAUCCAAUCAGAAACACAUCCUGUUGCAGCAGUUAUUACCAUAUUGACCCCAGUCAAACAAAAGAAGCUCAGAGAUAAAUACUGUUUAUGGAGUUCUAGUCUCUCAUUACCUUGUGGUAUGUUGAGCACGUACUCUGACAGGUUCUAUCUUAUAAUUGUUUGACUGGUGGAAAAUAAAUGACCUUGUUCAAGUCGAAAUGUCAGAAUAACAAUUCAUAAUUCAAAUGCCGAAAAGUCAUAUCAACAGCCACAUUUGUUAUGUGACCAGCAAAGUUGUAUUCAAAGAGACACAAUAGUUUACUUGAUAUUUUCUUGUGACCAACCAAGUUGUAUUUAAUGAAAAACAAUAGUUUAUGUUUUAUGGGAAUUAUGAUGCUGUUAGUCAUGUUAUGUUGGACGUUUUAGUUAAAUAUAGUAUGUUACAAAAUGUAUUAUUUGAAGCACACAUAUUGCAGGUAUAUCCAAUGUCUGUGUCUGUAUUAUGAACCUUUCACUUCAGAUUUUGAUCCGGAUAUGGUAAAUUUAAGGGAAAUACAAUCAUAACAAAGUUAUUUUAAGAUUAUCAAAGCUGUUUAAAUGUUUAUGGUAACUUGGACACAAUUGAAAAUAUAUUGGCGUAUUGUCCAUGUUUCAGUUUUCUGUUUUACCAGUUAUAUAGAUGUGCUCAUUAAAAUAAUGCUUCAAAGAGGUUGAGAGUUAUGAAAGUUCAGCUUUUCUGUAUAUCAAUCUUUCUGAACACAAUACUUGUCAAUUUGCUCAUUCGGGUCGGUAUUUGAUCCAAAAUCUUGUUAAGUAGCAUACUAUUUCAAGGGAAUAUAAAUUAAUUCUGGGAAAAAGUGUUUAAUCUACUUAAAUUUAUUGAUUUUUUGUUACCACCAGUACUUUGUUGAUUUCAAUUGCUAUGGUUUGCUAAAUAAUUAAAGCAUGACUGUUGUUUUAUUUGGAAAGCUUUUAAUAAAACUCAGAAUUAAAAACAAUAUUUAAAAAAAAGAUGAGUUUUAUGAAAAAUGGCACAUUUAAUGUUUGUUAAUUUGUGUUGUAAGAUCAUACACUUACAUGCUCAUAAGUGUUAACAUUCGAUUUUGGAUGUUAAAGUUUAUAAUGCUUUAUAUAUGCAUAUGUAGAUUUACACAACCAGAUUGUACCUUCUUAAAUCAGUGAGUAAUUUAACCCAGAUUUCUUGAUAACUGUUUAUAGGUAUAUUUUGCCAUUUAUACAUAGAACAACUGCAAAGCGAUUGUAUUUUCGAUGUAAAUCAUACAUUUAGUGUUGCCAUUGUUUAAACUCACUGUUUACAUUUAUUUGUACACACCAUUGUUAUAAAACAACAUUGCUUGUGUAAAUGCACAUAUAUGUAUAAAAACUGUUUAAUAAUGCAGCAUUAAAUAUUCUGAAGAGAAAAGGAUAUUUACGGCAAUAGAAACACCUUGUUAUAUGCUAUGCUUUUAAUCGAAUGAAUUUGAGCAACUAUUAAAAUGAAUUUAUUUCUUCUUUAAUUUUAACUAAAUACAACGAUAGUACCUUGAAAUUAGAAAUGAGUCAAUUACAAAAUAAGGGAGAGUGAUGUCAUAUGUUAACAAUUGUCAGGCAUAGCAAUUGCCUCUAUUGGUAAUAUAACAGAGCAAUAUUAUUUGCUUAAACAAUACAAAUUAAGAUGUCUUUUUUUGUUAGAUAAUAAUUGUGUUUACAACUUGAUAUAACGAGUAAAUACAUACAGAAUUUCAAAUUAUUUCGCAAUAUAUACUCGGCAAUAAGUGAAAGUCUAAAAGGAUUUUGUGGAAUAAACAAUUUGCAAAUUAUUUGCUUGUUUCAUGAAGUAAUAGUUAAGGUAAAAUGUGGUACUUAUUGUUACACAAACACAAUGUGUAAUAACAAAAUGCAUCAGUAAUGACAUUUAUUAAAAUUCCUUAAAUUUGCAUGACUACUCAGUGCUUUGAGUUUUGUUAUUGUGACGAUUAUAAGUGAAUAUUCUGCAAAAAAUACCUCUAUACGAAAUGUGUAUAUUUCAAUAAUAAUGGUAUACUUGUAUGCAAAGUACUUGAAUAGUUUUGAUGUAUUGCUGAUAAAGAAUUGUGUAAUUGUACUAGUCCUAUUCCAGUUUGUGUAACGUUGACCGUUCAACAUAAGCUGUCAGUGGAGUGAAUUCACUGGGGCCAGUUUCUGUAAAUCUUCCGAUUUAAAACUGCAGCAUACACGUAUGUCUUAAAUCCAGAUUUACAUAACAGUGUGGUUGUUUAUCUUGAAUUUGUAUUGAAUGCAUAAAACAUGUUUGUUCUGUUGUUGAACAACUGAAGAUAGCUUUAAAUGUGUACAUUGUGUUUCAUUUUUAGAUAUAUCAAAUUGAUACAUAGAAAACAAAAUACAAAAUGUGCAAUAAUUGGUGUGCAUGUUUAGCCCAAAAAAUGUUAUCAUACAAGCAUAUAAGUAUUGGACUAUAUGAUUCUGUAAGAUGAAAUGUUUAAAUCACGUCAUGAUGUGUUCAUCUACUUUAAAUAAACAUUUUUCAUAAGUAGAUAUUGGUUGUAUAAACUCUAUUGAAACUGCCCCCAAUUCAUUUUAAUUGCUUUUGUAAAUAUAUUCAAUAUGUAACAUUAUUGUUAAUGGUAUGUUUAUAGUUAAAGUGUAAGUGUUUCUCUAAACUGUAACCGGGUGUCUGUUUAAUUUAUUGAGAUGUGUUUAUAUUGUCCGGCUUAUUAAAUUAAAUAUUGUGCAAAUUGUC